GAUGAGCGUCCUGCCCGGGGUGCCCUGCGGGCUUGUCCUGGCGGGAAGGCGCUUCACCCCGGCCUGAGAGGGGAGAGAGAGUCAGAAAACCAAAAGUGCUGGUGGAAGAAUGCAGGGGUAACUAGCAGCAGUUUAAACAGCCACGCUGCCCUAAAGCCGAGAGAGAAGCCCAGAGCCGGAGGCCGCCGAGAAAGAAGCGCUGGGGAUUCAAGAGGAGCGCUGCCCUGAAAAGUAGAGCUCUCUUUGCGAGGACGAAAACCGAAACGAGAUGGAGUGGUGAGUAAAGCCGUCUUCUAGGCCAGUAAUUUUUCCCAUAUUGGAAAAGCAGCCUUUCCCUAACAACCGAGAAAAGUUCUGCGAAAAUGCCCAUCAAUGUACCCCCUUACCUCUGCUUUCGGCGCAGUCGCCUUCUGCCUUUUCUUGGGAACCUUUCUCUUCGGCUGCAAAGGCAGCGCUGAGGUAUUUUUCCAGCCGGAGGUGUCGGGAACUGAGCUGCCAUACCGGGCAGACUGGGGAUAAGCGAGGCGGUCAAAAGAAUUGGUCCAGUUUUGUCUCGUAUACAACUGAAAGAGGCGCCUUAACGCAAAUAAUCGCCACUCCCCCCUUCCUUGGGAGAGAUUCACUAUGGGGCUUGGGAUAACUCCAAUUCAAAACAAGCCCCCAACGGCGCUCUUAGUGGAUGUUGGUAUUCCUUUUGACGUGCUGAUCUGACUUUUCUGAGUAUAAAAUCCAUAUGGAACAAAGGAAAAUUGCUUCGGAGUAAAUCUGCGCGACCGUAAUCUCCGAUGGAGUACUGAACACGAAAUCAACUCCAGAGAAAAGCAGACCCCUCCUUUUCCAAAAAGAAAUAUUUUCGUUGGAAUUAGGUUGCUAAACAGUUGCAAGAGCUGGUCUCUCCGAGCCUUGUUCAUAUGCAGCCUGCUGGUGCCGCGGCUGAAACAGCUAGGCAGCCCCCGCAGAGUGGCGAGCAGCAUUUUUUUUAACCUCUGCGCCGAGACAGCCGGUACUUCAGAUCGUCCUUGUCCAUUCAUCUCCUGUCCACAGCGUUUAUGGCCUAAAAAGAGGAACUUCAAUCCACCUUCCUUUGUCAGUAUAAACCGAUUAUUCAACACACACGCGUGCGCGCCCGCUCACACAUACACAAAAGAAACGUGCCUCAAAACGUUAGGGACUGUAGAUGAACGAUCAGAAUUCUGCAGCUUUUCCAAUAUCGGAUAUUGUCUUCAGAAAGUGGUUUUCUGCCGGGGCUGUGUGGGUCCCAGUCAUGUCUACCAUAAAGUAAAAACGACUGGGUUUAGUCGACUUCAACUCUAAUUUAUGGCUCAAGAGACUAGGAUUAACUUCACUUCCUCUCACUGGAUACUGUACUAUAGGAAGCGCCUCAGUGAAAUGUGAGAGGUGAAUCGGUUGCACUUCAUGGAUAUUAAGUCUAAAAACAUUCCUACUCACGAGUAAGUUUCAGGUACCAGGAUUUUCUUGAAAGGGUAUUUUGUGCACAAGACAAUCGCUGAUUAUUUAAAUCUUUGCGGACAUCAGAUCACCCUCCUGUCCUGUGUAUUUUUAAUUUAAAAAAAUAAAUCCUACCAACCCUAUUACUCCUGAAUAAAUAAGUACUAUAUAACAAGAAUGCAGCCACGGUAAUAAUUAUUUGAUCGGCAAGCCUUCAUCGAUUUGCAGUAGGAUUUAUCCCAUCGCAAACUACAAACAAAACGAUUACUUAACAGAGAACUUUUCACGGGUUUUGACCGGAGGAAGACCCUCCUUAUUCUAUGCUCCUAAUAUUUCCAAAUGAUGAAAUAUGCGCUUUUGCAAUACAUUGUCCUGUUAUAGCCAUUUAUAAACAAAUACCUUGCUGUUAAGGUUCACUAGAAUGGAGGUGCUGCCAUGGUGUUAAAAAAAUUCGGCCAGGAAAGGUGCUGUAUCUGAUCUCUGCUUAGAAUCAGGGAGAAGCAGCAAGAGCGGAGGAGGAAUAGGUUACAGUACUGCUAAACUUACCCGGCCCAGAGAAAUAUAUGAAGUCUCUUGCCUCGCCUUGUCUCCUCCUCAGAAGAUGGCUGCCUAAUUGAACUGAGCCCUGAGUUUGGAAGAUCACACUGAAAGAUGGGGAUAAUAUUGCUCUUCCUUUAUGAAUGUAAAUCGCUCUCCGUUCUGAAGGUUGCCCAACGGAGUCCUUGAGCCCAGUAGCCUCUUUUCUUCUACCCUCUCCCCCUCCCCUUUCUUUUGACAGUAUCCAGAUCCAGUGCUAGGAAACUUUAAGACUCUGAGUUGGGUGUGUAACUGCUAGAUUCUUCACUGCUACGUGGUGGAACAUUUAUUAAAGCAAAUGACCGUC
This is a long non-coding RNA of Pantherophis guttatus, 2332 nucleotides long. RefSeq lists it as uncharacterized. NCBI's taxonomy places the organism in Eukaryota, Metazoa, Chordata, Lepidosauria, Squamata, Colubridae. The record is from RefSeq and is a predicted model, not a curated record.